AUGAAUCCUUAUUUUAUCGGUUUUGUCAUCCCGUUUGUGGCGUCUCUGAUGCUUACCAAGAGGAAGGCUGAGAAGAAAAGGGGCCUGCCAGUCGAUGUGGGUGGUGAGCCUGGCUAUGCCAUCCGUAACUACAGGUCCGAACAGCCUGUCGAAACGCACUGGGAAGGGAUUUUCACGCUCGCCGAGCUUUUCGAACAGUCCUGCAAGCAGUAUGCCUACAUGCCCCUGCACGGCACCAGGAAGCUCAUUUCAAGGGAAACAGAGGUAGCUGCUGAUGGAAGAUCCUUCGAGAAGCUCCAUAUGGGGGAGUAUGAGUGGAAAACUUACAUUGAAGCAUUCAAGGCUGUAUGCAACUUCUCAUCAGGCCUGAUCCAAAUUGGGCACCAGAAGGAUGAGCGUGUUGCUAUCUUUGCUGAUACGCGAGCUGAGUGGCAGAUUGCGUUGCAGGCAUGCUUCAGACAAAACAUUACCGUGGUCACCAUUUAUGCCUCCUUGGGAGAGGGAGCACUUUGUCACUCACUAAAUGAGACUGAGGUAACUACUGUGAUCUGUGGACGGAAAGAACUAAAAAAGCUUAUUGAUAUCAAUGGGCAACUUGAUACUUUGAAACAUGUCGUCUACAUAAGUGAGGACGAUGUCUCAAGUGAAGUAUCCUUGGCUAAACAAUGCACUAACUGGAGAGUUGAGUCAUUUGAAGAGGUAGAGAGGCUAGGGUUGGAAACACCUAUCGAAGCAAAUUUACCUCUCCCAUCUGAUACAGCAGUGAUAAUGUAUACAAGUGGGAGCACUGGAAUGCCCAAGGGUGUCAUGAUGAGCCAUCGGAAUGUCUUGGCCACAGCAUCAGCUGUUAUGACUAUUGUGCCUGCACUUGGUAAGAAGGAUGUCUACUUGGCGUACCUUCCGCUUGCGCACAUUCUUGAGUUGGCAGCUGAGACGAUUAUAUCUGCUGUUGGGGCUUCUAUAGGAUAUGGAUCACCAUUGACCCUGACUGAUACAUCAAAUAAAAUUAAAAGGGGGACCAAAGGUGAUGCCUCUGCACUGAGGCCAACACUUAUGACUGCGGUACCUGCUAUACUUGACCGUGUUCGUGAUGGCGUGAGAAAAAAUGUUGAUGCAAAGGGUGGUGUAGCCAAGAAACUAUUUGAUAUCGCCUACAGCCGUCGGCUAGCUGCUGUCAAUGGAAGUUGGUUUGGUGCAUGGGGAUUAGAGAAGCUUGUGUGGGACAUGCUUGUCUUCCAGAAAGUGCGUGCAAUCUUGGGAGGCCGGAUUCGAUUUAUACUUUCAGGCGGAGCGCCUCUGUCUGGAGAAACUCAGAGAUUUAUCAAUAUAUGCCUUGGGGCUCCAAUAGGGCAAGGAUAUGGUCUAACUGAAACGUGUGCUGGCGGGACAUUCUCUGAGUAUAAUGACACAUCUGUUGGUCGUGUUGGUGCUCCACUGUCUUGUUCGUUCAUUAAGUUGAUAGAUUGGGUUGAAGGUGGAUACUUGACAUCUGAUUCACCAAUGCCUCGGGGAGAAAUCGUUAUUGGAGGCCCAAAUGUAACCAAAGGCUAUUUCAAAAACGAGGCCAAAACAAAUGAGGUCUACAAGGAUGAUGAGAGAGGCAUGAGGUGGUUCUACUCCGGUGACAUUGGUCGUUUGCACCCAGAUGGUUGCCUCGAAAUCAUCGACCGGAAGAAGGAUAUAGUGAAGCUUCAACAUGGUGAAUAUGUAUCACUAGGAAAGGUGGAGGCUACUUUGAGCGUGAGCCCGUAUGUUGACAACAUCAUGGUCCACGCCGACCCCUCCCAAAACUACUGUGUUGCACUCGUUGUAACCGCGCACGGUGAGCUAGAAAACUGGGCCUCAAAACAAGGGAUUGCAUACUCCGAUUUCGCCGAUCUGUGCCAGAAGCAAGAGACUGUCAAAGAAGUUCUACAGUCGUUGGCAAAGGCUGGUAAGCAAUCGCGGCUGGAGAAGUUUGAGAUCCCUGCCAGGAUCAAGCUGAUACCGGAGCCAUGGACCCCCGAGUCGGGUCUCGUCACCGCUGCCCUCAAGCUCAAGAGGGAGGUCAUCAAGAAGGGUUAUCAGGACGAUCUUGCUAAGCUGUACAGAUAG
Molecule: ribosomal RNA, 2094 nt
Filed under: Triticum aestivum (bread wheat)
Lineage: Eukaryota; Viridiplantae; Streptophyta; Magnoliopsida; Poales; Poaceae
Description: partial small subunit ribosomal RNA
Source: RNAcentral